Molecule: unclassified non-coding RNA, 347 nt
Filed under: soil metagenome
Description: partial contains 5.8S ribosomal RNA, internal transcribed spacer 2, and large subunit ribosomal RNA
Rfam family: 5.8S ribosomal RNA (bases 1-120)
Source: RNAcentral
GAUGAAGAACGUAGCGAAAUGCGAUACUUGGUGUGAAUUGCAGAAUCCCGUGAACCAUCGAGUCUUUGAACGCACAUUGCGCCCUCUGGUAUUCCGGAGGGCAUGCCUGUCCGAGCGUCAUUGCUGCCCUCCAGCCCGGCUGGUGUGUUGGGCCCCGUCCCCCUUCCCGGGGGGACGGGCCCGAAAGGCAGCGGCGGCACCGCGUCCGGUCCUCGAGCGUAUGGGGCUUUGUCACCCGCUCUUGUAGGCCCGGCCGGCGCCAGCCGACCCCCUCAAUCUAUUUUUCAGGUUGACCUCGGAUCAGGUAGGGAUACCCGCUGAACUUAAGCAUAUCAAUAAGCGGAGGA